RNAcentral lists this ribosomal RNA (331 nucleotides) under Salmonella enterica. RNAcentral describes it as "bacterial SSU rRNA". It matches the Rfam family "Bacterial small subunit ribosomal RNA", at positions 113 to 447 of the family's 1533-position model. Lineage: Bacteria; Pseudomonadati; Pseudomonadota; Gammaproteobacteria; Enterobacterales; Enterobacteriaceae. RNAcentral also lists the same sequence under 1 other name. The record is from RNAcentral.
AUGUCUGGGAAACUGCCUGAUGGAGGGGGAUAACUACUGGAAACGGUGGCUAAUACCGCAUAACGUCGCAAGACCAAAGAGGGGGACCUUCGGGCCUCUUGCCAUCAGAUGUGCCCAGAUGGGAUUAGCUUGUUGGUGAGGUAACGGCUCACCAAGGCGACGAUCCCUAGCUGGUCUGAGAGGAUGACCAGCCACACUGGAACUGAGACACGGUCCAGACUCCUACGGGAGGCAGCAGUGGGGAAUAUUGCACAAUGGGCGCAAGCCUGAUGCAGCCAUGCCGCGUGUAUGAAGAAGGCCUUCGGGUUGUAAAGUACUUUCAGCGGGGAGG